CGUAGGUGGCAAGCGUUGUCCGGAUUUAUGGGUUUAAAGGGUGCGUAGGCGGUCUAUUAAGUCAGUGCUGAAAUACUCCAGCUUAACUGGAGGGGUGGCAUUGAUACUGAUGGACUUGAGUACAGAUGAGGUAGGCGGAAUUGACGGUGUAGCGGUGAAAUGCAUAGAUAUCGUCAAGAACACCGAUAGCGAAGGCAGCUUACUGGGCUGUAACUGACGCUGAUGCACGAAAGUGUGGGGAUCAAACAGGAUUAGAUACCCUGGUAGUCCACACUGUAAACGUUGAUUACUCGCUGUUUGCGAUACACAGCAAGCGGCUUAGCGAAAGCGAUAAGUAAUCCACCUGGGGAGUACGCCGGCAACGGUG
RNAcentral lists this ribosomal RNA (367 nucleotides) under uncultured organism. Its description in RNAcentral is "bacterial SSU rRNA". It matches the Rfam family "Bacterial small subunit ribosomal RNA", at positions 526 to 896 of the family's 1533-position model. The record is from RNAcentral.